Lepidothrix coronata (blue-crowned manakin) is the source of this 503-nucleotide long non-coding RNA. RefSeq lists it as uncharacterized. Lineage: Eukaryota; Metazoa; Chordata; Aves; Passeriformes; Pipridae. The record is from RefSeq and is a predicted model, not a curated record. The transcript is spliced from 3 exons.
AAAGAAGAGGAAAGCAGAAAAAAGAGUCAGAACACAAAAGAUUUCAAUACUAAACUAGAGGGAUGAACUUUCCUGACUGCCAGCACACAAAUGAAUUGCCAUUUUCAGGAAAUAUUUGUGAAAGCUCCCUGGACCAGAGUAAUGUUGUGUGCCAGUACUGGGAAACAUUUCAUGCCCUGUGAGUGGCCAAUACCUUCGUCAGGAUGUUGUGGCAUGUGAACGUGUGGAUUUCAGAGGAAAGACAAUGAGAGAGGAACAGAUACUGUGAUUCUUGGGAAACCAACUGCUACAAGCUUGGAUCCUCAGAGCCUACAGGCUCUCCCAGGCAUCCCAUGUUUCAGCAUGUUGAGAAGAUCCAGUUGCGCUUUGCUUGGAUGCCUGGAUGAGAAACUGGGGAAGAUGGAAAGCGAGGUGCUCAUUUGCACAGUCUGUGACGGAGGUGCUGACCCUAUUUCCAGUCAUGACAGGUGUCCAGGGCUCCCCAGGAGGUAUUUUAUUGCCAU